AGCAUUUGUGUGGUUUUUCUUUUGUUGAGCAGGUGGACAGAGAUUUAAAAGCCAGGUGCUAAACAAAUACUCUUUUGUAAGCCAGGAUUCGUUGUUCUGUGCGCGUUCUGGUACAUGUGAAAAGGAAUAUG
Molecule: small nucleolar RNA, 131 nt
Organism: Phodopus roborovskii (desert hamster)
Lineage: Eukaryota; Metazoa; Chordata; Mammalia; Rodentia; Cricetidae
Product: small nucleolar RNA SNORA40
Exons: 1
Source: RefSeq, a predicted model, not a curated record